AUAUCAAUAAGCGCAGGAAGAGAAAGUAACUACGAUUCCCCUAGUAACUGCGAGUGAACAGGGAAGAGCCCAUCCCUGAAUCGAUGGUGGAACGUUAGCGAAGCUAUCGAAUUGUAGGGUUAGAGUCUUGUGGCAAGGCAAGGAGACGCAGGAAAGUCUGCUGGAAUGCGGCGCCAAGGAGGGUGAUAGCCCCGUUUAACCG
Molecule: ribosomal RNA, 202 nt
Filed under: uncultured eukaryote
Lineage: Eukaryota
Description: partial large subunit ribosomal RNA
Rfam family: Eukaryotic large subunit ribosomal RNA
Source: RNAcentral